This 473-nucleotide ribosomal RNA is filed under the name uncultured bacterium. Its description in RNAcentral is "bacterial SSU rRNA". It matches the Rfam family "Bacterial small subunit ribosomal RNA", at positions 335 to 802 of the family's 1533-position model. The record is from RNAcentral.
ACUCCUACGGGAGGCAGCAGUGGGGAAUAUUGCACAAUGGGCGCAAGCCUGAUGCAGCCAUGCCGCGUGUGUGAAGAAGGCCUUCGGGUUGUAAAGCACUUUCAGUCGUGAGGAAGGUAGUGUAGUUAAUAGCAUAUCAUUUGACGUUAGCUGCAGAAGAAGCACCGGCUAACUCCGUGCCAGCAGCCGCGGUAAUACGGAGGGUGCGAGCGUUAAUCGGAAUUACUGGGCGUAAAGCGCAUGCAGGUGGUUUGUUAAGUCAGAUGUGAAAGCCCGGGGCUCAACCUCGGAAUUGCAUUUGAAACUGGCAAACUAGAGUACUGUAGAGGGGGGUAGAAUUUCAGGUGUAGCGGUGAAAUGCGUAGAGAUCUGAAGGAAUACCGGUGGCGAAGGCGGCCCCCUGGACAGAUACUGACACUCAGAUGCGAAAGCGUGGGGAGCAAACAGGAUUAGAUACCCUGGUAGCUACGAGU